GGUCCUGUGGCGUAAUGGCAGCGCGUCUGACUACGAAUCAGGAGGCUGUAGGUUCGACCCCUACCUGGAUCA
This 72-nucleotide transfer RNA is filed under the name Phaeoacremonium minimum UCRPA7. Its description in RNAcentral is "tRNA-Arg (ACG) (tRNA-Arg-ACG-2-1)". It matches the Rfam family "tRNA". From Rfam's summary of the family: Transfer RNA (tRNA) molecules are approximately 80 nucleotides in length. Their secondary structure includes four short double-helical elements and three loops (D, anti-codon, and T loops). The record is from Rfam by way of RNAcentral. Lineage: Eukaryota; Fungi; Ascomycota; Sordariomycetes; Togniniales; Togniniaceae.